Molecule: long non-coding RNA, 475 nt
Filed under: Selaginella moellendorffii
Lineage: Eukaryota; Viridiplantae; Streptophyta; Lycopodiopsida; Selaginellales; Selaginellaceae
Description: long non-coding RNA (SMOE_LNC000126)
Source: RNAcentral
UCAAACGUUGUUGUUGCAUCGCUAAGUUACAAACAUAAUCAUAAGAACAUUGAUAUGAUAUUAAGAGAGCAGAUUAUUAUUGCUUCAUUUCGAGUCCCUUAUUCACGAGUACGUAUACUUGCAUUGCAGCUGCGUUCCUUUUCCCUGGCAGAGCAAAAAAAUCAUGAGAGAAGCGUGAGAAGAAAAAAGAGAAAGAUUAUAACCUUUGGCUCAACCUCAAGGGCAGCACUGAGAAAGGAGUGUUUUCACCAAGGUAACGUUGCAAGCGCAAAUGGGCAAGGGACUGCAGCACUGAGUGAUUUUGGUUGGAUCGCCCAAAGCAUUGAUGAUGCAAGUCAAAAUGGCCUGGAGAUUGGGUAGGGAGCACUGCUGCGCACGAGCAAGUGUCGCAACCAUGGCGAGCACCAGGAGCAUAAGCAGCACGGACCUUGCAAAAGCCAUGGAUGGGAAUCAAGAGAGGAUAAGAGAAGAUGAU